CCUACGGGUGGCAGCAGUGAGGAAUAUUGGUCAAUGGGCGCGAGCCUGAACCAGCCAAGUCGCGUGAGGGAUGAAGGUUCUAUGGAUCGUAAACCUCUUUUAUAAGGGAGUAAAGUGUGGGACGUGUCCUAUUUUGUAUGUACCUUAUGAAUAAGGAUCGGCUAACUCCGUGCCAGCAGCCGCGGUAAUACGGAGGAUCCGAGCGUUAUCCGGAUUUAUUGGGUUUAAAGGGUGCAUAGGCGGCCUUUUAAGUCAGCGGUGAAAGUCUGUGGCUCAACCAUAGAAUUGACGUUGAAACUGGGGGGCUUGAGUAUGUGUGAGGAAGGUGGAAUGCGUGGUGUAGCGGUGAAAUGCUUAGAUAUCACGCAGAACCCCGAUUGCGAAGGCAGCCAGCCAGGCCAUGACUGACGCUGAUGCACGAAAGCGUGGGGAUCAAACAGGAUUAGAUACCCGUGUAGUC
RNAcentral lists this ribosomal RNA (460 nucleotides) under uncultured bacterium. RNAcentral's name for it is "partial 16S ribosomal RNA". It matches the Rfam family "Bacterial small subunit ribosomal RNA", at positions 338 to 795 of the family's 1533-position model. The record is from RNAcentral.